RNAcentral lists this transfer RNA (64 nucleotides) under Mylabris calida. RNAcentral describes it as "tRNA-Ile". Lineage: Eukaryota; Metazoa; Arthropoda; Insecta; Coleoptera; Meloidae. The record is from RNAcentral.
AAUAGAGUGCCUGAGUGAAAGGGUUAUCUUGAUAGGAUAAAUCAUGUAAAAUUUACCUCUAUUA